GGUUUGAUUCUGGCUCAGAUUGAACGCUGGCGGGAUGCUUUACACAUGCAAGUCGAACGGCAGCACGGACUUCGGUCUGGGCAGUGGCGAAUAAGGAGUAAUGUAUCGGAACGUGCCUUCAGUAGCGGGGGAUAACUACGCGAAAGCGUAGCUAAUACUGCAUACGUCUCUUCGGGGGAAAGCGGGGACCUUCGGCCUCGGGGUGCACUAUUAGAGUGGCCGAUAUCGGAUUAGCUAGUUGGUGGGGUAACGGCUCACCAAGGCGAUUGAUCCGUAGCUGGUUUGGAGAGACGACCAGCCACACUGGGACUGAGACACGGCCCAGACUCCUACGGGAGGCAGCAGGAAUUUUUGACAAUGGGGGAACUCCUGAUCCAGCCAUCCCGCGUGUGCGAUGAAGGCCUUCGGGUUGUGAAGCACUUUUUGGCAGGAAAGAAACGGCACGGGAUAAUACCGUGCAACUGACGGUACCUGCAGAAUAAGCACCGGCUAUCCAUGCGCUGAAAGCAGCCGCGGUAAUACGUAGGGUGCAAGCGUUAAUAACGGAAUUACUGGGCGCAGUUGCAGCAGGCGUCGGAAAGAAAGAUGCAAAUCCCAGAGCUUAACUUUGGAACUGCAUUUUUAACUACCGAGCUAGAGGUGUCAGAGGGAGGUGACCUCGUAGCAGGAAAUGCGAUAUGCGAGAACACCGAUGGCGAAGGCAGCCUCCUGGGAUAACACUGACGCUCAUGCACGAAAGCGGAGCAAACAGGAUUAGAUAUUCAGAACCACGCCCUAAAACGAUGUCAACUAGCUGCUGGGGCCUUCGGCCUCGGUGGCGCAGCUAACGCGUGAAGCUGACCGCCUGGGAGUACGGUCGCAAGAUUAAAACUCAAAGGACUGACGGGGACCCGCACAAGCGGUGGAUGAUGUGGGAUUAAUUCGAUGCACACCGCGAAAAACCUUAUCACUCCUUGACAUGUCUGGAACUCGUGAGAUUUGGAGUGCUCAAGAGAACCGGGAACACAGUGUAUGCAUGUCGUCAGCUCGUCGUGAGAUGUUGGGUUAAGUCCCGCAACGAGCAGCAACCUCAUUAGUUGCUACGAAAGGGCACUUCAAUGAGACUGCCGGUGACAAACCGAGGAAGGUGGGAGGACGUCAAGUCCUCAUGGCCCCGGUGGGUAGGGCUUCUCACACGCCAUACAAUGGUCGGGACAGAGGGUCGCCAACCCGCGAGGGGAGUCAAUCCCAGAAACCCGAUCGUAGUCCGGAUCGCGUCUGCAACUCGACUGCGGUGAAGCUCGAACUGCCAGUAAUCGCGGAUCACACGUCGUGUGAAUACGUUCCCGGGUCUUGUACACACCGCCCGUCACACCAUGGGAGUGGUUUACCAGAAGUAGUUAGCUUCAACCGUAAGGAGGGCGAUUACCACGGUAGGAUUCAUGACUGGGGUGAAGUCGUAACAAGGUAG
This 1450-nucleotide ribosomal RNA is filed under the name uncultured Bordetella sp. RNAcentral describes it as "partial 16S-23S ribosomal RNA intergenic spacer". It matches the Rfam family "Bacterial small subunit ribosomal RNA". The record is from RNAcentral. Lineage: Bacteria; Pseudomonadati; Pseudomonadota; Betaproteobacteria; Burkholderiales; Alcaligenaceae.